UACGUAGGGUGCAAGCGUUAAUCGGAAUUACUGGGCGUAAAGCGUGCGCAGGCGGCUUUGCAAGACAGAUGUGAAAUCCCCGGGCUUAACCUGGGAACUGCAUUUGUGACUGCAUGGCUAGAGUACGGCAGAGGGGGAUGGAAUUCCGCGUGUAGCAGUGAAAUGCGUAGAUAUGCGGAGGAACACCGAUGGCGAAGGCAGUCCCCUGGGCCUGUACUGACGCUCAUGCACGAAAGCGUGGGGAGCAAACAGG
RNAcentral lists this ribosomal RNA (253 nucleotides) under uncultured bacterium. RNAcentral describes it as "partial 16S ribosomal RNA". It matches the Rfam family "Bacterial small subunit ribosomal RNA", at positions 524 to 776 of the family's 1533-position model. The record is from RNAcentral.